UACGUAGGGUGCGAGCGUUGUCCGGAAUUACUGGGCGUAAAGAGCUCGUAGGUGGUUUGUCGCGUUGUUCGUGAAAUCUCACGGCUUAACUGUGAGAGUGCGGGCGAUACGGGCAGACUGGAGUACUGCAGGGGAGACUGGAAUUCCUGGUGUAGCGGUGGAAUGCGCAGAUAUCAGGAGGAACACCGGUGGCGAAGGCGGGUCUCUGGGCAGUAACUGACGCUGAGGAGCGAAAGCGUGGGGAGCGAACAGG
RNAcentral lists this ribosomal RNA (253 nucleotides) under uncultured bacterium. RNAcentral's name for it is "partial 16S ribosomal RNA". It matches the Rfam family "Bacterial small subunit ribosomal RNA", at positions 524 to 776 of the family's 1533-position model. The record is from RNAcentral.